This 536-nucleotide non-coding RNA is filed under the name Pan troglodytes (chimpanzee). Lineage: Eukaryota; Metazoa; Chordata; Mammalia; Primates; Hominidae. The record is from RNAcentral.
ACUGUUGAGAUACAUAACAUGUAAAUGUUGAAUCUGCAUCUCACUUGAAAUGGUUGGGUUUGGAGAAACGGAUAGUCAAGCUUAUUGGAAUUAUUGUUAAAAAAGUAAUUUGAAGGCCUUCCCUGACUUAAAGUGGAUGCUGCUUUGGAAAGCACUGGAAAAAUGGAUCCUGUCUUUCUUAGCCAAGGACUGGUCUCUUUUCUCCAAUGUGUCCCUAACAGAGUGGUGAGGCUGGCUCUUCCCACCAGUACAGACAGAAUUUUCAAUUCACAAAUCAUCUGAAAAACAGGAAAUUUUGGAGAAACAUGCUUAUGAUAACAAACAAGGGAUCUAUCGUGUGGUAUAGAAGUUUACACAAAGAGGCAUCCGAUUUUAAGUUUUUUUUUUUGUUUGUUUUUGUUUUUUUUUUUACCGUUCUGGGCUUCUGGCUGCAUUCUAGGAAGAUCAUUCCUUAAAAGAAAUAGCCAUAUGGCUUAUAAGGGACUAUAUCUUAAGACUAUGUGUCUUCUGCAGUUCUUUGCAUAGAGUCAACGUUG